AGGCACUGCCCCCGAACCUCUGUGUGUCUGGCCGUGACCUCAGGGACCUCGUGGCAGUGCCAGAGAAGACCCAGCUUGUCAAGAUCCGGAGCUGCUUAGAUUCCACCUAAGUGAUUCCUUUAGCAGCAAGCGACAUUC
Molecule: small nucleolar RNA, 138 nt
Organism: Microcebus murinus (gray mouse lemur)
Lineage: Eukaryota; Metazoa; Chordata; Mammalia; Primates; Cheirogaleidae
Source: Ensembl